GUCUCUUCGGGGAUGAUUAAACCGGCGCACGGGUGAGUAACACGUGAGUGACCUGCCUUUUAGACUGGAACAACUUACCGAAAGGUGAGCUAAUGCCGGAUGAGUUAUAUAAGUGCAUGUUUAUAUAGGAAAAGUUGGGGAGACCUGACGCUGAAAGAUGGACUCGCGUCCCAUUAGCUAGUUGGUAGGGUAAUGGCCUACCAAGGCGACGAUGGGUAGCCGGCCUGAGAGGGUGGCCGGCCACACUGGGACUGAGACACGGCCCAGACUCCUACGGGAGGCAGCAGUGGGGAAUUUUGCGCAAUGCUCGUAAGAGUGACGCAGCGACGCCGCGUGAAUGACGAAGGCCUUCGGGUCGUAAAGUUCUUUCGACAGGGAAGAAAAUGCCUAUAAGUAACUGUGUAUGUAUUGACGGUACCUGUAUAAGCAGCCCCGGCUAACUCCGUGCCAGCAGCCGCGGUAAUACGGAGGGGGCGAGCGUUGUUCGGAGUGACUGGGCGUAAAGAGCACGUAGGCGGUGUUGUAAGUCAUUAGUCAAAGACUAGAGCUCAACUUUAGUAAGGCUAGUGAUACUAUAAUACUAGAGUAUCAGAGAGGAUUGCAGAAUUCCUGGUGUAGCGGUGAAAUGCGUAGAUAUCAGGAGGAAUACCGUUAGCGAAGGCGGCAAUCUGGCUGGAAACUGACGCUGAGGUGCGAAAGCGUGGGUAGCAAACAGGAUUAGAUACCCUGGUAGUCCACGCUGUAAACGAUGGAUGCUAGGUGUUGGGCUUUUAAGUUCAGUGCCGUAGCAAACGCGAUAAGCAUCCCGCCUGGGGAGUACGUUUGC
Molecule: ribosomal RNA, 826 nt
Filed under: uncultured bacterium
Lineage: Bacteria
Description: bacterial SSU rRNA
Rfam family: Bacterial small subunit ribosomal RNA
Source: RNAcentral